This 230-nucleotide long non-coding RNA is filed under the name Coffea arabica (coffee). Its description in RNAcentral is "long non-coding RNA (CARA_LNC002629)". The record is from RNAcentral. Lineage: Eukaryota; Viridiplantae; Streptophyta; Magnoliopsida; Gentianales; Rubiaceae.
AGCGGAGCCAAUUUGGAACGCAAGUACGACUUCUUUGAUGCCAUUGAGGACAUGUAUUCCAACCUCUGUUUGUCCUAUUCACUUCCAUCUCUUUUACGUUUCUGUUUUUUGGUCAAUUAGGCAAUCUUAGUGAUUUUGGCUACUGCUUUGACCAAGUCAUCCCCAGGGAUAACAUAAUUGACAGCCAAAAAUCUUUGACAAACAGCAUUUUACUUGUCAAAAAUCCAAAA